This 225-nucleotide long non-coding RNA is filed under the name Lathyrus oleraceus (garden pea). RNAcentral describes it as "Pisum sativum (pea) long non-coding RNA (PSAT_LNC041854)". The record is from RNAcentral. Lineage: Eukaryota; Viridiplantae; Streptophyta; Magnoliopsida; Fabales; Fabaceae.
UUGAUUAAAAUUAAGUUGUUUUAUAGGUGGAUUAGCUCCUUUGAGUUGAGCUUGUUGCUUUGCUUGAUGCAUUGUUUGUGUACAGUUAACUGUCUGUUGUCUGUUGACUUUCUUUUUUGAGUUGUAUACUGAUUGUGUUGGAUUGUUUUCAGGUACCUUAGUUGCUAUAGUUCAUUGUGAACUUGCUUUUGCUUUGCUUGAUAGCUUGAGCAUUGAGGUAUAAUG